UACGGAGGGUGCGAGCGUUGUCCGGAAUCACUGGGCGUAAAGGGCGCGUAGGUGGCGCGGGCAGUCAACGGUGAAAGUUCGGGGCUCAACCCUGAAUCGGCCGUCGAUACUCCCGGGCUUGAGCACUGUAGAGGCAGAUGGAAUUCCGGGUGUAGCGGUGGAAUGCGUAGAGAUCCGGAAGAACACCGGUGGCGAAGGCGAUCUGCUGGGCAGUAGCUGACACUGAGGCGCGACAGCGUGGGGAGCAAACAGG
RNAcentral lists this ribosomal RNA (253 nucleotides) under uncultured bacterium. RNAcentral's name for it is "partial 16S ribosomal RNA". It matches the Rfam family "Bacterial small subunit ribosomal RNA", at positions 524 to 776 of the family's 1533-position model. The record is from RNAcentral.